This 1245-nucleotide ribosomal RNA is filed under the name metagenome. Its description in RNAcentral is "bacterial LSU rRNA". It matches the Rfam family "Bacterial large subunit ribosomal RNA", at positions 1564 to 2817 of the family's 2925-position model. The record is from RNAcentral.
UGAAUACGAGAUGCUACGGCAUUGAAGCAGUGUAUGUCAGACUUCCAAGAAAAGCUCGCAAUGUCAUAAACAAUAAAUGCCUGUACCAUAACCGACACAGGUGGGUAGGUAGAGUAUACUAAGGGGCGCGAGAUAACUCUCUCUAAGGAACUCGGCAAAAUGGCUCCGUAACUUCGGGAGAAGGAGUGCCUUAUUUUAUAAGGUUGCAAUAACAAGAUCCAAGCAACUGUUUACCAAAAACACAGGUCUCCGCUAAGUCGAAAGACGAUGUAUGGGGGCUGACGCCUGCCCAGUGCCAGAAGGUUAAAGAAGUUGGUUAGCUUCGGCGAAGCUGAUGACUGAAGCCCUGGUGAACGGCGGCCGUAACGAUAACGGUCCUAAGGUAGCGAAAUUCCUUGUCGGGUACGUUCCGACCCGCACGAAAGGCGUAAUGAUUUGGAUACUGUCUCGGAGAGGGGCUCGGUGAAAUAGACUUGUCUGUGAAGAUGCGGACUACCUGCACCUGGACAGAAAGACCCUAUGAAGCUUUACUGUAACUUGAGAUUGAAAUUGGACUUUAUUUGCGCAGUAUAGGUGGGAGACGUUGAGAAUAUUCUUGCGGGAAUAUUGGAGUCAUCAGUGAGAUACCACUCUUGUAAUGUUAGAUUUCUAACUUUGUAUCAUUAUCUGGUCAAAGGACAGUUUCAGGCGGGCAGUUUGACUGGGGCGGUCGCCUCCUAAACGGUAACGGAGGCGCACAAAGGUUUCCUCUGAACGUGUAGAAAUCGUAUCUAGAGUGUAAAGGCAUAAGGAAGCUUGACUGUGAGACCUACAAGUCGAGCAGGGACGAAAGUCGGUCUUAGUGAUCUGUCGGUGCUGAGUGGAAAGGCCGUCACUCAACGGAUAAAAGUUACUCUAAGGAUAACAGGCUGAUCUCCCCCAAGAGUUCACAUCGACGGGGAGGUUUGGCACCUCGAUGUCGGCUCAUCGCAUCCUGGGGCGGUAGUACGUCCCAAGGGUUGGGCUGUUCGCCCAUGAAAGCGGUACGCGAGCUGGGUUCAGAACGUCGUGAGACAGUUCGGUCCAUAUCCGGUGUAGGCGUUAGAAUAUUGAGAGGAGCCUUCUUUAGUACGAGAGGACCGAGAAGGACAUACCUCUGGUGUACCGGUUAUCGUGCCAACGGUAAACGCUGGGUAGCUAUGUAUGGAGUGGAUAACCGCUGAAAGCAUCUAAGUGGGAAGCCCACCUCAAGAUAAGUAUUCUCAC